AUUGAACGCUGGCGGCAUGCUUUACACAUGCAAGUCGAACGGCAGCGCGGGCUUAGGCCUGGCGGCGAGUGGCGAACGGGCGAGUAAUGCAUCGGAACGUGCGCAGUAGUGGGGGAUAGCGCGGCGAAAGACGGAUUAAUACCGCAUAAGAGCUGAGGGUGUAAGCGGGGGAGCGAAAGGUCUUCCGCCAUUGCAGCGGCCGAUGUCGGAUUAGCUAGUUGGUGGGGUAAAGGCUUACCAAGGCGACGAUCCGUAGCUGGUCUGAGAGGACGAGCAGCCACACUGGGACUGAGACACGGCCCAGACUCCUACGGGAGGCAGCAGUGGGGAAUUUUGGACAAUGGGGGCAACCCUGAUCCAGCCAUGCCGCGUGCGGGAAGAAGGCCUUCGGGUUGUAAACCGCUUUUGUUCGGAAAGAAAUCCUCUAGGCUAAUACCCCGGGGGUAUGACGGUACCGGAAGAAUAAGCACCGGCUAACUACGUG
Molecule: ribosomal RNA, 484 nt
Filed under: uncultured bacterium
Lineage: Bacteria
Description: partial 16S ribosomal RNA
Rfam family: Bacterial small subunit ribosomal RNA
Source: RNAcentral